This 617-nucleotide ribosomal RNA is filed under the name uncultured bacterium. Its description in RNAcentral is "bacterial SSU rRNA". It matches the Rfam family "Bacterial small subunit ribosomal RNA", at positions 338 to 947 of the family's 1533-position model. The record is from RNAcentral.
CCUACGGGAGGCAGCAGUGGGGAAUUUUGGACAAUGGGCGCAAGCCUGAUCCAGCAAUGCCGCGUGCAGGAUGAAGGCCUUCGGGUUGUAAACUGCUUUUGUACGGAACGAAACGGUGAGCUCUAAUACAGUUUGCUAAUGACGGUACCGUAAGAAUAAGCACCGGCUAACUACGUGCCAGCAGCCGCGGUAAUACGUAGGGUGCGAGCGUUAAUCGGAAUUACUGGGCGUAAAGCGUGCGCAGGCGGUGAUGUAAGACAGAUGUGAAAUCCCCGGGCUCAACCUGGGACCUGCAUUUGUGACUGCAUCGCUAGAGUACGGUAGAGGGGGAUGGAAUUCCGCGUGUAGCAGUGAAAUGCGUAGAUAUGCGGAGGAACACCGAUGGCGAAGGCAAUCCCCUGGACCUGUACUGACGCUCAUGCACGAAAGCGUGGGGAGCAAACAGGAUUAGAUACCCUGGUAGUCCACGCCCUAAACGAUGUCAACUGGUUGUUGGGUCUUCACUGACUCAGUAACGAAGCUAACGCGUGAAGUUGACCGCCNGGGGAGUACGGCCGCAAGGUUGAAACUCAAAUGAAUUGACGGCUUGAGCNGCGAGGCGACGACGAGGGAGGAGG